UGGGCAACCUGCCCUCAGCUCUGGGAUAACUCCAAGAAAUUGGGGCUAAUACCGGAUAUGACCGCUGACCGCAUGGUCUGGUGGUGGAAAGAUUUAUCGGCUGGGGAUGGGCCCGCGGCCUAUCAGCUUGUUGGUGGGGUAGUGGCCUACCAAGGCGACGACGGGUAGCCGGCCUGGAGAGGGGUGACCGGCCACACUGGGACUGAGACACGGCCCAGACUCCUACGGGA
This 230-nucleotide ribosomal RNA is filed under the name uncultured bacterium. RNAcentral's name for it is "partial 16S ribosomal RNA". It matches the Rfam family "Bacterial small subunit ribosomal RNA", at positions 118 to 346 of the family's 1533-position model. The record is from RNAcentral.